UACGAAGGGGGCUAGCGUUGUUCGGAAUUACUGGGCGUAAAGCGCGCGCAGGCGGCGGUGUUGGCCCGGCGUGAAAGCCCCCGGCUCAACCGGGGAGAGUCGUCGGGGACCGCACCGCUUGAGGGCGGUAGGGGCUGGUGGAAUGCCUGGUGUAGUGGUGAAAUGCGUAGAGAUCAGGCAGAACACCUGGGGCGAAGGCGGCCAGCUGGGCCGUCCCUGACGCUGAGGCGCGAAGGCGUGGGGAGCGAACGGG
Molecule: ribosomal RNA, 253 nt
Filed under: uncultured bacterium
Lineage: Bacteria
Description: partial 16S ribosomal RNA
Rfam family: Bacterial small subunit ribosomal RNA
Source: RNAcentral